Non-coding RNA from Pelobates cultripes (western spadefoot toad), 422 nucleotides. The record is from the annotation of a GenBank genome assembly. NCBI's taxonomy places the organism in Eukaryota, Metazoa, Chordata, Amphibia, Anura, Pelobatidae.
UCACAGUGGGGGAGGGAGUAUCCCACGACACGCUAACCCUAAUUUUACGUUAUUCAGGCUCUUCAUGGAGCGCUCGUUGUUUUAUUGGCUGACUUUCAGCGGGCGGGAAGAGCACCGAGAGAGGCAUUCGGACCAAAAAUACGUCAGCCGGGGGGCUCUCCCUCCCCCAUGACCGUGCUCGGGCCCAGCGCCACGCUCCGGGCUGUCCGCGCAAUUCCCCGCCGCCGCCCCGACCCCUUCCAGGCCGUGGUCAGCCCGCUUCGGCAAUGCUGCCGCGAAGAGUUCGCCUCUGUAAGCCUGAUGGGGGCGGCGGGGCCGUGGGAGAGCCGGGGAGCGGCGCAUGGAGAGUAACAGGAGCCGCCCGAUCCCGGUCUGUCUGUCUGAGCUGUGACCAGUACAGACCGCGGCGGGCUCCGACACAC